CGGUGUAGCGGUGAAAUGCGUAGAUAUCGGGAAGAACACCAGUGGCGAAGGCGCUCUGCUGGGCCAUCACUGACGCUCAUGGACGAAAGCCAGGGGAGCGAAAGGGAUUAGAUACCCCUGUAGUCCUGGCCGUAAACGAUGAACACUAGGUGUCGGGGGAAUCGACCCCCUCGGUGUCGUAGCCAACGCGUUAAGUGUUCCGCCUGGGGAGUACGCACGCAAGUGUGAAACUCAAAGGAAUUGACGGGGGCCCGCACAAGCGGUGGAGUAUGUGGUUUAAUUCGAUGCAACGCGAAGAACCUUACCAGGGUUUGACAUCCUGCGAAUCUCUUGGAAACGAGAGAGUGCCUUCGGGAACGCAGUGACAGGUGGUGCAUGGCUGUCGUCAGCUCGUGUCGUGAGAUGUUGGGUUAAGUCCCGCAACGAGCGCAACCCACGUCUUUAGUUGCCAGCAUUCAGUUGGGCACUCUAGAGAGACCGCCGGUGAUAAACCGGAGGAAGGUGUGGAUGACGUCAAGUCAUCAUGCCCCUUACAUCCUGGGCUACACACGUACUACAAUGCUACGGACAAAGGGCAGCAAGUUCGCGAGGACAAGCAAAUCCCAUAAACCGUGGCUCAGUUCAGAUCGUAGGCUGCAACUCGCCUACGUGAAGGAGGAAUCGCUAGUAAUCGCAGGUCAGCAUACUGCGGUGAAUACGUUCCCGGGCCUUGUACACACCGCCCGUCACACCAUGGAAGUUGGCCACGCCCGAAGCCGUUACUCCAACCCUUGUGGAGGAGGACGUCGAAGGUGGGGCUGAUGACUGGGGUGAAGUCGUAACAAGGUAACCGUA
RNAcentral lists this ribosomal RNA (834 nucleotides) under uncultured bacterium. RNAcentral describes it as "bacterial SSU rRNA". It matches the Rfam family "Bacterial small subunit ribosomal RNA", at positions 671 to 1504 of the family's 1533-position model. The record is from RNAcentral.